Small nuclear RNA from Chlorocebus sabaeus (green monkey), 61 nucleotides. Its record names the gene U7. It matches the Rfam family "U7 small nuclear RNA". Rfam says of the family: Animal histone pre-mRNAs are spliced by a different mechanism than nuclear pre-mRNAs and self-splicing introns. This processing involves the U7 snRNP, which contains only one RNA species: U7. The record is from Ensembl. NCBI's taxonomy places the organism in Eukaryota, Metazoa, Chordata, Mammalia, Primates, Cercopithecidae.
UAGUGUUACAGCUCUUUUAAAAUUUGUCUAGCAGGUUUUCUAAUUUUUACCCAGAACCCCU